RNAcentral lists this ribosomal RNA (522 nucleotides) under Triticum aestivum (bread wheat). Its description in RNAcentral is "partial small subunit ribosomal RNA". The record is from RNAcentral. Lineage: Eukaryota; Viridiplantae; Streptophyta; Magnoliopsida; Poales; Poaceae.
AUGUCGUUCCUGGUCAGUGGCACCGACGGGAGGAUGCUGAUGGUACGGUACUGGAGUGGCGUGGAGCGCUUCGGCGACAUUGGGGCUUACAACCAAAAUGAGCUAUUCACGGCGCGCGGCAUCACCAGCCGCAUUGAGGUGUUGGAGGUGGACAUCGCCGGAAAGAGGCUGGUUCCCAUGAGGAGCCUUGGCCGGCAUGCAGUGUUUAUUGGCCUGACGCACUGCUUGCACAUCUCUACCGAGACAUUCCCCUCCAUUUCUGCCGACACAAUAUACCUCGGCUGCUAUCAUCAGCAAAACCGCGGGUUUGGCAUCUAUCAUAUCAACAACAAGAACCACCGGAGGACCGAGCCUAAUGACAAGUUCAUCUUUGAUAUAACCCGGUAUUUAUAUCAACCAGCUGCCAGACCCUACAACCUUGAUGAGUAUCUAGUAUUCUAUGUGGACCGUAGACACCGCUAUAGUAAGGCAUGUAUCAAUCAUACAAGCUGUCUCUUUUACUCUUGUGAGGAGCCUCUCUAG